GGAGCCGAAGGGAAACCGAGUCUUAACUGGGCGUUAAGUUGCAGGGUAUAGACCCGAAACCCGGUGAUCUAGCCAUGGGCAGGUUGAAGGUUGGGUAACACUAACUGGAGGACCGAACCGACUAAUGUUGAAAAAUUAGCGGAUGACUUGUGGCUGGGGGUGAAAGGCCAAUCAAACCGGGAGAUAGCUGGUUCUCCCCGAAAGCUAUUUAGGUAGCGCCUCGUGAAUUCAUCUCCGGGGGUAGAGCACUGUUUCGGCAAGGGGGUCAUCCCGACUUACCAACCCGAUGCAAACUGCGAAUACCGGAGAAUGUUAUCACGGGAGACACACGGCGGGUGCUAACGUCCGUCGUGAAGAGGGAAACAACCCAGACCGCCAGCUAAGGUCCCAAAGUCAUGGUUAAGUGGGAAACGAUGUGGGAAGGCCCAGACAGCCAGGAUGUUGGCUUAGAAGCAGCCAUCAUUUAAAGAAAGCGUAAUAGCUCACUGGUCGAGUCGGCCUGCGCGGAAGAUGUAACGGGGCUAAACCAUGCACCGAAGCUGCGGCAGCGACGCUUAUGCGUUGUUGGGUAGGGGAGCGUUCUGUAAGCCUGCGAAGGUGUGCUGUGAGGCAUGCUGGAGGUAUCAGAAGUGCGAAUGCUGACAUAAGUAACGAUAAAGCGGGUGAAAAGCCCGCUCGCCGGAAGACCAAGGGUUCCUGUCCAACGUUAAUCGGGGCAGGGUGAGUCGACCCCUAAGGCGAGGCCGAAAGGCGUAGUCGAUGGGAAACAGGUUAAUAUUCCUGUACUUGGUGUUACUGCGAAGGGGGGACGGAGAAGGCUAUGUUGGCCGGGCGACGGUUGUCCCGGUUUAAGCGUGUAGGCUGGUUUUCCAGGCAAAUCCGGAAAAUCAAGGCUGAGGCGUGAUGACGAGGCACUACGGUGCUGAAGCAACAAAUGCCCUGCUUCCAGGAAAAGCCUCUAAGCAUCAGGUAACAUCAAAUCGUACCCCAAACCGACACAGGUGGUCAGGUAGAGAAUACCAAGGCGCUUGAGAGAACUCGGGUGAAGGAACUAGGCAAAAUGGUGCCGUAACUUCGGGAGAAGGCACGCUGAUAUGUAGGUGAAGCGACUUGCUCGUGGAGCUGAAAUCAGUCGAAGAUACCAGCUGGCUGCAACUGUUUAUUAAAAACACAGCACUGUGCAAACACGAAAGUGGACGUAUACGGUGUGACGCCUGCCCGGUGCCGGAAGGUUAAUUGAUGGGGUUAGCGGUAACGCGAAGCUCUUGAUCGAAGCCCCGGUAAACGGCGGCCGUAACUAUAACGGUCCUAAGGUAGCGAAAUUCCUUGUCGGGUAAGUUCCGACCUGCACGAAUGGCGUAAUGAUGGCCAGGCUGUCUCCACCCGAGACUCAGUGAAAUUGAACUCGCUGUGAAGAUGCAGUGUACCCGCGGCAAGACGGAAAGACCCCGUGAACCUUUACUAUAGCUUGACACUGAACAUUGAGCCUUGAUGUGUAGGAUAGGUGGGAGGCUUUGAAGUGUGGACGCCAGUCUGCAUGGAGCCGACCUUGAAAUACCACCCUUUAAUGUUUGAUGUUCUAACGUUGGCCCCUGAUCGGGGUUGCGGACAGUGUCUGGUGGGUAGUUUGACUGGGGCGGUCUCCUCCUAAAGAGUAACGGAGGAGCACGAAGGUUGGCUAAUCCUGGUCGGACAUCAGGAGGUUAGUGCAAUGGCAUAAGCCAGCUUGACUGCGAGCGUGACGGCGCGAGCAGGUGCGAAAGCAGGUCAUAGUGAUCCGGUGGUUCUGAAUGGAAGGGCCAUCGCUCAACGGAUAAAAGGUACUCCGGGGAUAACAGGCUGAUACCGCCCAAGAGUUCAUAUCGACGGCGGUGUUUGGCACCUCGAUGUCGGCUCAUCACAUCCUGGGGCUGAAGUAGGUCCCAAGGGUAUGGCUGUUCGCCAUUUAAAGUGGUACGCGAGCUGGGUUUAGAACGUCGUGAGACAGUUCGGUCCCUAUCUGCCGUGGGCGCUGGAGAACUGAGGGGGGCUGCUCCUAGUACGAGAGGACCGGAGUGGACGCAUCACUGGUGUUCGGGUUGUCAUGCCAAUGGCACUGCCCGGUAGCUAAAUGCGGAAGAGAUAAGUGCUGAAAGCAUCUAAGCACGAAACUUGCCCCGA
RNAcentral lists this ribosomal RNA (2160 nucleotides) under Escherichia coli. RNAcentral's name for it is "partial 23S ribosomal RNA". It matches the Rfam family "Bacterial large subunit ribosomal RNA", at positions 662 to 2802 of the family's 2925-position model. Lineage: Bacteria; Pseudomonadati; Pseudomonadota; Gammaproteobacteria; Enterobacterales; Enterobacteriaceae. The record is from RNAcentral.